AUCUUCAUUGCAUUAUUUUUAAUCAACUGCGUGAUCUUAUUCAAGUCUUUGGAAUAAUUUGAAACUUGAUAAGACUGUCAUUGAUGAAAAUUUAUGUAACCU
RNAcentral lists this microRNA precursor (102 nucleotides) under Oikopleura dioica. RNAcentral's name for it is "microRNA odi-mir-1500 precursor". Lineage: Eukaryota; Metazoa; Chordata; Appendicularia; Copelata; Oikopleuridae. The record is from miRBase by way of RNAcentral.